Molecule: non-coding RNA, 797 nt
Organism: Camelina sativa (false flax)
Lineage: Eukaryota; Viridiplantae; Streptophyta; Magnoliopsida; Brassicales; Brassicaceae
Source: RefSeq, a predicted model, not a curated record
UCUGUGUGUUGUGUUAUUUAUAAACUAGCCAAUGCUUACGCCGCAUAUGCAUCAAUGGAGAUUUUGAUCCUGUUGUAGAGAUGGUCGUUGAUAACGAAAGGAAAAUUUUAUACACUCGUACCAAGAAGGCGGAACUCGAGGCCUAUUUUCUUGGGAUGAACGGUGAAAGCCUUAUUGAGAAGUUGGGGCUAGUAGAUAAUCUGUUAGAUCACAGCCCACACAAAGCAGAUGCAAGCGGAACUAACAAGCUAUCUAUAGUUUGCAUUUCGCCGCUGGAAUCCAGGUGGUCGGAUGCUCACCUUGUUGCUAUAUUAUCAGAUUAGUAGACACAGUUAAGAUUUACCUCUCCACCUCAUCAAAUGGGACAACGAGUCUCGGAAUUGCCUGAGAGUAGUUACACCUAAGUACCCUCCUAACUUCGGUCUCUCGUCGGCAAAGGCUGAAAUCGAGUGUGGCUUGUCGGAAGAGAAACUCUCUCAGGUUUGUUUAAGCAACUGUCAUAACUCGCUUGGAGACUCCACCAUUGUGUCAAGCACAACAUCUCGAUAUGUGCCGAGUCAAUUUAUGAGGAUGCGGGUGAAUAGUGAAAGUAUAAGGAGGCAAGAAGCGGGGAUGCUUGAUGCGAUUGAGAAGAGGAAGCUUGACAUGUCGAAAAAGAUGAUGUAAAACGGUACAAACCAACGGUCAAUAAAUCUUAAUUAUGCAAUUUUCUUGUCUGUUAACAGUAAUCAUCAACUCGUCUAUCUCGCUUAAGUAUGUUUAUGUGUUAAGUGUUGUAACUUGCAACGUUAUUAUGU